AGACUGUGCGGUGGCAGCCAUGGCGGACGGCUGCGAUGAGGCUGCUCCUGGGUCUCGCGGCUAUCCAAGACCAUCGAGGGUCCCCGGCGGCGCCUGCCGUCUGCUGAGGCUGGGUGGACUCCUCUGCGGCAGAUCUCCUGUAAGAUGUGCUGGUAAGUGACGCUGCCCGGGGCCCAGCUCCUCGCUCCCAGAACCGGGCGCGCUGGUCACUGUUACUUCAUGGGGGAAAUUCUUACUGAAUCAACUAGUGACUUGGCCUACGGCUCCCAGGGGUUUUCUGAACUGUAAAAUACAUACCGAGAAUAAUAUUCAAGAAAAGGGGAUUUUGUGUAUAGAUGUGAUCAGCGUCUUUGUAAAAGGAAGGAAGUUAGUCCACUGCUACCGCCACAAUUCCGCCUCUGUCUGCCGGUGCCAAAUUGAAACGCAGACACAGAGUUUGGGGUAAAGGAGGGGAAAAAGAAUAGUUUAAUUGCUUUGCCAGGCAAAGGAGGAUCACAGCAGGUUAAUGCCUUAAAGACUGUCCCUUCCCCCCCACCCCAGUUAGAAAGAAUUGGAAGGAGUUUUAUAGCAAAAAGGAGAAAAACAGGUUUUCAGAGAGGAAUCAGUAUUGGGACAAACAUGCAUUCAUCUUUCUUUGGGUCAGUCUUGGUCAUCAAAGCUGGAGUCGGGAGAUUUUCACAGUGGUGGUUUUCUGGGUUAUUGCCUAGAAUAACAGUACUUGCGAAAGGGCCGUAUUGAUCAGAGAUCAGAACAAGCUGGGAAAGUUCCUGAAAAAACAUCCCAUGCUAAUAAUCUUUAACCCACAGGCCAUUGUGCUCAGGAUGCCUAAUCUUUAGCUUACAGGUGAUUGUGUUUAGGGUGUAACUAAGUCAGGAAGAAGAAUAAGCUGUUAAAUUUCAAAGUAUUCAUUUCAAAAAGAAGCGUAAGGAAUAUGAUUUUUCUCUGAGAGGUAUGAUAAGACUGCCUCUCCCAAGGCUGCUUGUCUUCCUCCCUCAAACAGAAAGGAUUGCUGUGUCCUUCUUACUAUCAAGAGUUGUCGGAGUUCCCGUCGUGGCGCAGUGGUUAACGAACCCGACUAGGAACCAUGAGGUUGCGGGUUCGGUCCCUGCCCUUGCUCAGGGGGUUAACGAUCCGGCGUUGCCGUGAGCUGUGGUGUAGGUUGCAGACGCGGCUCGGAUCCCGCGUUGCUGUGGCUCUGGCGUAGGCCGGUGGCUACAGCUCCCAUUGGACCCCUAGCCUGGGAACCUCCAUAUGCCGCAGGAGCGGCCCAAGAAAUAGCAACAACAACAACAACAAAAAGACAAAAGACAAAAAAAAAAAGAGUUGUCUCUGUCCAGGGGCUUCAGGAGGAAACCCAAGUAGGCCUAAUCCAACCCCAUGAUCUCUCCUCUCAGCUUCUGGUCCCGGCUGGUGCUCAGUACAGCUGAAUGCCCAGGGCUUUAGGGGCUUGAAGGAACGUGGGCUGCAAGCCUCCAGCGUGCUUGGGUCUGCGGUGACCCUGUGCAUUCCUACAGUGCUUGCAAGAAAAUUUUGAGAUGGUUUGAGGCCUUGCCCUGCUUCAUCCAGAGCAAGGUUAUAGAAAUUUCAGACACUGUUUUGCUCCCUUCCCUAUCUGGUGUGCUGGGCACUGUGCAGGUCUGUACCAUCUGAGGCGGUGACCACUUGACACAUUCGGUUAAAUUUAAGAUUCCGUCUUUCGUUCACACUAGCCACGGUUUAGAUGGAUGCUCAUUAGCCACACUUGGCAAGUGGCUGCUCUGUUGCACCGUGCACAUUAGAGAGCGUUAAUGUCUUUGAAGAAAUUGUUUUGGACUUUGGGUGUUUACCGUGCUCCAGGCUUGUAAAUUUUAUUAUAUCCUUCAAACGAAAGCCUUAGAAAAGUUGAAAAUGGGAGUUCCCUUGAUGGCUUAGUGGUUAAUGAACCCGACUAGUAUCCAAGAGGAUGCAGCUUCAAUCCCUGGCCUUGCUCAGAGGAUUAAGGAUCCUGCGUUGCCGUCAGCUGUGUAAGUUGCAGGCAAAGCUUGGAUCUGGCGGGGCUGUGGUGUAGGCCGGCAGCUGCAGCUCCGUUUGGACCCCUAGCCUGGGAACCUCCGUAUGCCUCGGGCAUGGCCCUAGAAAGAUGUAAAGGAAAAGAAAAUGAAGCUUGAGGGAGUGGUAAAGAUGGAGUUAGACCAGCUAGUAGGAAAUAGAGUGGAAAGGAAUAAUAGGGAUGGGCCAUGCCCUGGGGGAUAUUUACCAUUGGCAGGGAAACCAAAGAGAAGGAAGGGCCAGCCAGGUUCUAUAGCAGGGCCGAGUGUCCCCGGAGCUUACUGGGGGGCGGGGGUCGUUGCACAUUGAUCUUAAAGGAAGAUCUAAUAUAGCAGGGCCGAGUGUCCCCGGAGCUUACGGGGGGGGGGGGUCGCAUUGAUCUUAAAGGAAGAUCUAGUGGGAGAGAAGGGCACUUGUGUUGAUUGAACUCUUGUCUUGCAGACUUAAUUCUUAACCCGCCAGAAGUCUUCAGGGACCACCGUUAGGCCAUCUUAGGUCCAGUACAGGUGGGGGGCCACGGUCAGGAUUAAGUGUCCAGGGUUGCCUGGCCAGACACUGGAAGGUCAGGAUUGGAUGCCAGGCCUCUCCAACCCUACUGGCUCCACUCCUUUCCCGGAUGCCAGAUUGGAAGGGAGGGGUGGAAUCUAGAGGCAAUGGCUGGUUUGAGUCGGAGGGCAAUGCCAGGAUGGAGUAGGCAGCACAGCUCCUGAGCUCCUGGACGGCGGGGUCACACCACCACCCCUUCUCUCUUGAAGGUUAAGGCUUCUGGCAGAUUCGGGUCAGUCCCAAGUGCGACCGGUCUUCUGGGGCUGCCGUCCGCAGACCCUUCUCGCAUCCACGUACCUGGCGGCCUCCCUCAUCGCGUGCUGUUGGUAGGGGGGCGAGUCAGGCCCUGUACACGUCCUGACAGGCACCCGGCCCACCCCCAGCCAACUGUGCGCUGUGUUCCUGCCCCAGCACGAGACCUGUGGGGUGUCCGCGGCAGAAGAUGUCAGAGCUGGAAGAGACCUGAGAGGCGAUCCCCUUGGUGGGUGAUGGUUCUUCCGGGAAUCUGGUGGUUUGCGCGCCUUGUCGUCUGCUUCCAGAACAAGGAUCUUCGCUGUAUGCCAAGACCCAGACCCCUCUGACAUCGGAAUGACAAGUGGGAUAUUUAAUAAAACAGUUUCAAAUUUGGAGU
This 3205-nucleotide long non-coding RNA is filed under the name Sus scrofa (pig). RNAcentral describes it as "lncRNA (ENSSSCG00030032744.1)". The stretch from base 1463 to 1594 matches the Rfam family "Small nucleolar RNA SNORA9". The record is from RNAcentral. Lineage: Eukaryota; Metazoa; Chordata; Mammalia; Artiodactyla; Suidae.